UUUUAAAAGGUGCGUUAACGAUUGAAGCGACAUCCUUUUUGUCCUCCGGCUGGCGGACAAAAAGAUAUAGCGAAAAGCGUGUCAAAAC
Molecule: small RNA, 88 nt
Filed under: Pedobacter psychrophilus
Lineage: Bacteria; Pseudomonadati; Bacteroidota; Sphingobacteriia; Sphingobacteriales; Sphingobacteriaceae
Description: Pedobacter sp. CCM 8644 Flavo-1 RNA
Rfam family: Flavo-1 RNA
Source: Rfam by way of RNAcentral